Non-coding RNA from Nicotiana tabacum (common tobacco), 1202 nucleotides. The record is from RefSeq and is a predicted model, not a curated record. NCBI's taxonomy places the organism in Eukaryota, Viridiplantae, Streptophyta, Magnoliopsida, Solanales, Solanaceae.
CCUCUACGCCUUUGACCUAAAAUAUAUCAAUUCCAACAAUUUCGGCUUACAUUCCCACGAUGGCGCUUCAUUCCCACGAUCCCACACCGCGAUUUCUAACUCCUAACCCAUCAAUUCUUCUGGGGGUAUUCUCAGUAACAUGAUUUCAAUGUCUUUUGAAUUCAAGUUCUACUUUAACAAUCACUAAAUCUUUCUCCGCAGGAAUUCUUGAUAUAAGCUAUUCAGUCUUUUUCAUUGUAAGUUCACUGAACCAUGUUAUCAUAGAUAGAUUAGUAUUAGUUACUUUGGUUUUUUUGUGUUGCUAAUUCGUUAUACCUUCUCUGUUUUUUAUGUGAUUAAGUUUUAAAUCUGGAGUUGUUUCUUUCACUUACUAAUUCUUUCAACUCUACCAUUAAAAAGUAAUAUUACUAUAAAUUAAUGUUAGUAUGAAUUCAAGUAUUCAAGUAUAGUAAUAUAAAGAUUUGUAUUAGUUAAUCUAGAAUUAUUGUAUUACUAGUUCCUUCAAACACUUUCUUUUACUUAAUAUAAUUCUUUGUAGGGCUUGCCAUUGUUGGUUAUAUUUUGCCCCUUUUCUCUGUUACAUUGGUUCUAUAUUCGAGAAUUGAUGCAAUUUAUUUUUGUAUUAAACCAUUUAUUAGAGAUGGAACAUUAUAAGCAUGUUUUUGUUUAUUAUUUUGCGAAUUCUAAAGAAAAUUUGUAAUGCCCUCUUUUCGCCUACUUUGCCCCAAUGAUUUUAUAGAACAUUUAAUGCCUCCUUCGCUGAGCAUUCUAAAAGGUGAAGCGAAGAGUCAGGGGACUGCCUCAUUAGCGGGAAAGCACCAAUCACUGGAGAAUUAAUGCUCAUUUAAAGAACUUUGGCACUUGGACCCUUUCUAAAACCUGUUGUCUAAAGGUGAGGCAGUCCCUGGGGAAGUAACGCAGAAAAAGAAUAUGGCAGCAGAAGGGAGAAAUAGGAAAGCGCUUGGCGAUAUUGGUAAUGUGGCUACAGAUCGUGGGGUCGAAGGAAAAAAACCACUUCCUCAGGUAUCUCGCCCCUUAAAAAGGAGCUUUUUGGGAAAUCACAACUUUUGAGUCUUGUGAAUGGGUACACAGUGCUUGGCGCCAAUCUGAUGAAAAGUUAAUGUAUAUAUUGGAUUGAUGUGUAGUGACAACAGCUACCUUUGUUGCAUUAUUUAUUUUGUGCAAGGGCAUAUUUUCAGUAA